RNAcentral lists this non-coding RNA (98 nucleotides) under Limosilactobacillus pontis. Its description in RNAcentral is "Lactobacillus pontis Guanine sequence". It matches the Rfam family "Purine riboswitch aptamer". From Rfam's summary of the family: Riboswitches are metabolite binding domains within certain messenger RNAs that serve as precision sensors for their corresponding targets. Lineage: Bacteria; Bacillati; Bacillota; Bacilli; Lactobacillales; Lactobacillaceae. The record is from RNAcentral.
CUUUCAACGAAAUCAAUAGCCUAUAUAAUGCCGUAAUAUGGACGGUAGUUCCUACCCAAAGCCGUAAACUUUGGACUAUAAGCGAAUUGAACGUCAGC